Long non-coding RNA from Pan troglodytes (chimpanzee), 9310 nucleotides. RefSeq lists it as uncharacterized. Lineage: Eukaryota; Metazoa; Chordata; Mammalia; Primates; Hominidae. The transcript has 2 exons. The record is from RefSeq and is a predicted model, not a curated record.
AGCAUACGAAAGACACAUGUUUUAACAAAUAAUGACAUACAGGUGCUAAGUUCUGCAGUAGGGGAAGGUCAGAGAGCCAUGGAGAGGGCCUAGCCCAAUCCUGGAGCUUCAGAAAAAUGUUCCCCGUUGAAUUCCUGUUUUAGCUGAGACUUGUGGGAUGGGUAGUAGUUGGAGAUCCCAGACAGGAUGUGACUGAGUUAGCCAGGGAAAAAUUCGGUCCUGGCACCCAUGGCAGAAUUGAUUGAUGAGUUCUUCUGUCUCCUUUGUUUGGAAGUCCACUAGGUCUGAGAAUGUCAAGUUGGGGGAGGGCGCUGACAAUGAUCAUGACCUUCACCUGUCCUCACAUGUCCUCUGUGUAUCCGCAAAGCCUCUGCCUCAGUCUCCUCUUUUGGAAAGUGGGAUUAGAAACCACAUCUGCUUCUCUCCCAGGACUGCUAGGAAGACAAGAUUGGAUGGCAGGUCUGUUCUUCCCCUGGAUUGUAAACUCCUUGAUGUCUGGGUCAUCUCAGCUCAUGAGCUGAGCUUUCAGUGGGUGCUCAGUGGAACAGGUGCUGAAUGGAGUCAGGCUGUAGGGAGGCCAGCGUGUGUUGGUAAGUGAGAGACAAAAAUCAUUUUAAAAAGAAUCUUUUUGCCCUUCAGUUGUGUUUGCCAUGAGUUAAUGUGAUUUACUCUAGUGGAAGCCAGUGCAGCUUAAGUGGAGAUCUUGCCCUGAAAUGGAGCCAGGUUAUGGAUCAGCAGAGCUGCCGAAAGCAUUUUGGGGGAAAUGUUUCUGUGUCACCCUCAGUUGAUUGAACUGAAGUUUUCACUCCGGUUUAACACCACGUGGGGGCCAUUCUGACUUCUGCGGAGUGGGUAUGAUCAGAUCUUCUGUAAAAGUGUAAGUGAGGGGGCUGGGCACGGUGGCUCACACCUGUAAUCUUAGCACUUGGGAGGCUGAGGUAGGUGGAUCACUUGAGGCAGAGAGUUUGAGACAAGCCUGGACGACAUGAUGAAACCUCAUCUCUACUAAAAAUACAAAAAUUAGCCAGGCAUGAUGGUGCAUGCCUGUAAUGCCAGCUACUCAGGAGGCCGAGGCAGGAGAAUCACUUGAACCUGGGAGGUGGAAGUUGCAGUGAGCUGAGGUUGCACCACUGCACAGUAUUCCAGCCUGGGUGACAGAGCGAGACUCCGUCUCAAAAACAAAACAAAACCAAAAGUGUAUGUGAGGAAACUGGAAUUAAGCUUGGGGAUGUUGGGGGAUGGAGGUACUUCAUUUACUGAACAACAAAACCAUAGGAUACCAAUGCUGGAGGAAGAAGCAUCAUCCUCAGAUUCUACUAACUCAACAACGCAUGAGAUGGGGACUUGGUGUCCGAGAGAAAAGCUACUUUUUAGGUCUUGAACCUUGAUCAAACCAUUUCUGAAUUCCUCAUACACAUAUAAUCAGGUGCUAUGAGUGGUACUGAUUGGAUAAUCUUUCUGUCAUUUCCUGUGCUAGGAAGGAAAAUACAUGUACAGCCAACUUCCUUGAGGGUUCGUUCUUUUGCAUCAGGGUGUCUCAAACUGCUGCCCUUAAAACACCUGUAAGAGAAUCAUCCAGGCGGCUUGCUUGCUCUGCAUGCAGGCCCUUUAGAAUCAGAGUCAGAAUCCCUGGGGCUGGAUCCACAAAAUGAAAUGACAUUUCAACGAGUUUGUCAUCAUGUGAGAGAGAAUAGGUGAGUAUUUGGAUACCUAUAAUACAAAGUAGAUUCAAAAAGAAUGACUUGAUUAUUUUAAAUGUUGUGUUUAAAAAAAUUUAAUACAGAAAAGGCUGAGCACGGUGACCCAUGCCUGUAAUCUUAGCACUUUGGGAGGCGAAGGCGGGUGGAUCAUUUGAGGUCAGGAGUUCAACACCAGCCUGCCAACAAGGUGAAACCCCAUCUCUAUUAAAAACAUAAAAAUUAGCCAGGCAGUAGUGGUGCGUGCCUGUAAUCCCAGCUACGGGGGAGGCUGAGGCAGGAGAGUUGCUUAAGCCUGGGAGGCAGAGAUUUGGUGAGCUGAGAUCGUACCACUGUACUCCAAUGUGGGUGACGAUUGUCUAACCACCACUAAAAUGGGUUCUGAGUCCAACUAUUAACAUGAAGAUGACAUCCAUUGUGGUCGUGUACAUUUUGUUGCCUUUCCGGGGUGAAGGACAUUGGUGACCAUUUGUUUCCUCUGGAACGGUCGAUUGGUCAUGAACUUCCUGGUCCAGGUAGUCACUGUGUCAUUCAUGAUGGUGGUUGAUCCUCAGGUAGUUAGGGAGGAAAAUAAACAAGAAGUUAUAUAUUUAAAACCACGUUUCAAUUUUAGACCUGAUUAAUUGACUUAAUAAAGGGCAUUAGCACUUCUACUUCCUACAGUCCCUCCCUUUACUUCUGGAAACUAGUUAUUUCUAGGUUGUUUUAUGUUGUUAAGGUUGACCACCUUCUCUUUCUGUUCUGCAAUCAUAGUCCUAUCACUAGCCUUUUGUCAUGGUCAUUCAAUUCACAAGUUGCUUAUUUUUUAAUUCCUUGGCUGACUAAAUUUUAUUAUGAAGACUUUUUUUUUUAAAGAGCUCAGAAAUACUGUAUUCUUUAAGUUCUUCGACAUGUGAUCAUGUCUUUUGCCUAUUUUGAUUGGGCAAUAAUUUAGCUGGCUAUAAAAUUCUUGGAUUAUACUCUAUUUCCCUUAGAAAUUAUAAGCACCCAUCCACUGACAUUUCAUUGUGCUUUAUUUUAUUUUAUUUUAUUUUUGAGAUGGAGUCUUGCUCUGUCACCCAGGCUUGAGUGCAGUGGUGCAAUCUCGACUCACUGCAAGCUCUGCCUCCCGGGUUCACACCAUUCUCCUUCCUCAGCCUCCCGAGUAGCUGGGACUACAGGCGCUCACCUCCAUGUCUGGCUAACUUUUUUGUAUUUUUAGUAGAGAUGGGGUUUCACCGUGUUAGCCAGCAUGAUCUCAAUCUCCUGAUCUCAUGAUCCACCGGCCUUGGGCUCCCAAAGUGCUGGGAUUACAGGUGUGAGCCACUGUAUGAGCCCAGCCUCAUUGUGCUUUAUACUAACCCCCUUUCCCUGGCCUCUUCCAGCUUGUCUUCUUCUCUCCCAGUAGUUUCUUCAUGAAGAGGCCAUGUGCUAUAUUCCGUGAGAUAUUUCACACUCAAAGAAGACUUCUUUUAUACUCUUUUGAUAAUUUGUCUGGGAAUCACUGUCUUGAUUUAUAAGGGAGUUUGUAAUAAAUACAAUAAAAGAGAAACACAAUAUAUUUUGAGACAUCAGAGAAGGGAGAAACCAAUUCUAUUAAUAUUUGGGGUUAGCAGGGAAGGCUUAGUUAAGAGGUAACAUUUGAACUAAGCCUUGAAAUAAGGGAAGGAUUUGGCCAUGCAGAAAUGGCGAGAGAGUAGAAGCAAGACAUGAUGGUUAGCGGUAUGUAUCAAUUUGACUGGGUUGUGGGGUGCCCAGAUAUUUGGCUACACGUUAUUCUGGGUGUGUCUCUGAGGUAUUCUGGAUGAGGAUAACAUUUAAUUGGUAGACUGAAUAAAGCAGAUUGUCCUCCCCAAUGUGGGUGAGCCUCAUCCAAUCCAUUGAAGGCCUGAACAAAACAAAAAGGUAGAGUCACAGAGAAUUUGCUCUUUUUACCUGAUUAUAUUUGAGUUGGGACAUCAAUCUUGUCCUGACUUUAGAUGUGGACUCGAGUUGGAACUAUAUCAUUGGCUGUCCUGGGUCUCCAGCUUGCUGGCUGCAGACUCCAGGUCUCCUUAGCCUCCAUAACCAUGUGAGCCAUCCCUUACAACAAAUCAAUCUGUCUCUCUCUAUGUGUAUAGCUCUACCUCUAUCUCUCUGCUCUUUCUCUGGAGAACCUAGAAUAAUACACAAGUUUAUAUUAGAGAAGAGGAUGACCCAAGGAAAAGCAUGGCGGCAGAAAAGUGCAAAGAGGGUUUGGGAAGACUGGGGUCCUGAUGGGGAGUUUGGAUUUCUCUUUGUGUAGCAUGGAGAAUCCUUGAAAAUAUUCAAGAGGUGAAAAUUGUAUUUGUGGAAGAACACCAGGAGUAUGUGAAAAGAAAAACACUCACUCCAUUUUAACUCCACUGAAGGGGACAUCAACGGGAUGCACUGGGGACAUGGGUUGGAGGGUAGUUGAGGCCAUAUCUGGAGGAUCUUUACUUCUAGUCUGAGUCUGAAGUUAUCUUUCUGGGGAGUGGGAAAUUACAAAUCUUUGAGCUCCACUCAAGAGAUGGUUUUGCUAACAAUGGCAGGGCGACGAUGGUGGUGGUGGUGGUGGUGGUGGGAAACUGUUAUCAUGAAUUCUAAUUGAGCUUCUGUUAUUCUAGCCAAGAAAAUUGGGGAAUGGACUUUCAGUAGAAUAAUACAGAUCUGGGAAUCAACUGUAUGGAGGAGGUAGUUAUAGGUGACGAGAUGUCUCAGGGACAAAGUUUGGUAGAAGGAGAAAAGAUACUAGGCUGCUACAAAAAGAAUUGCUGUUUUUGCCAUUACUUUUAACGGCAAAAUCCGCAAUUACUUUUGCACCAACCUAAUAGGAUGCAAACUUCGGAGCCAUCUGCAUCAGAGGGAUUGAUGAAGAUCAACAAAAUUUGGGAACACAGGAAAGGAGCGGGGAGGGUAAUGACUUGAGGGCAUAGCCGGGAUAAUCAAGGUUUUUCUUGUUAGCAUGUGGAGACUUAAGCAUGAUUAUAUGUUAAACACCUGGCACAUACACGGUGCAAAAUGUUUAUGAGUGAACUGACAAGGGAAGGUGGUGAGUCAUGGGAGUUCCAAGGGAACGGGUGAUAAAGGCAGGUCUCAAAUGAGGCACAAGUGAAGAAGGUAGCUUGGGAAAGGAGAAGGAUGCUUCUCCUUAUAACAUGGGAAAGGCAGAGGAAGAGGAUCAAGAUACAGUGAUCUAGGGAUGAGAUGGAAGUGAGUUGAGAGAAAUCAACUCUGGGCUCUGAAACCCCUAGGGCUGGGUUUGGGGGGCUUUGAGAUAUGGAAGAGGUUUAACGUCAAUUGUUAUAGCAAAUAUGGUUUGGAAUUUAUUUGUGAUGCUUAAAAAUAUUGCUGAACAGAAGUGAAGUCUACCCUAGAGUUGGAUGGUGAGAUUAUUUAGUGGAACUACCAGAUCCAUGUUGUGAUUCUUUCCAGUAUCAUUCAGCAGCCCUUGGGCAGUUGCGAGGCAAGUCAUCAAUGGGGUAUGGAGAUUUUCCAGGUGGGUGUGGUUGAAGGAAGGGAAGAAAGAGUUUAGGAGCACAUUACAAGAAGAAGGUGACUGUAAGGUCCAGGCUGAGCAGGAAGGUAAAGCAAGAAGUAAACAUGAGGUUGUGAAGAGAAGUUUAGAGGGAUGAGGAGGCAGGAGAGGUGAACAGUUGCAGGAUGUAGCUAGAGUGGCGAUGUUAGAUCUUGGGGCCAGAGAGCUUUACAAUGAUGAUGAAGAUCAAAGGGCAUUAGAAUCAAGCUAUAAAGAGCCACUGUUUGAUGUUGGGAUGUGAGGAUGCUGCAGGUGGAUGUCUGCACAUUGAUGGUGAGAACAUGGUCACCCUGGCCCUGCUGGGUCUUUGCUAAAGAGACUGUGCUCUGUUCUUGGGGCCGUUUUCAUCACCUGAUUAGAGCAGUGGUCCCCAAAUGGUGUUCUUUUGGCCAUCUGUAUAAAAUGUUCAUAGGUCAAGGAUAAAAUGGAAAAACAGAGACAAUGUCACAGAAAUGUGCCCACCAGUGAAAGACCACCAGCUGUCCUUUUUGGAGGAUUGUUCUUUAUUCUAAAAAUGUAUAUAUUCUAUUCUAUUAAAACAUUUUUGUAUUGGCAUUUUUUUUCUCUUUUAUGAAAUGCAAUGGGGUAGAAAUUUGUAAUGUAUCCAAUUCUCCUGUCUUCAUGUAUUGCCCUGUGGUGGGGGAGGGGAUGUGGCUAGUACUGGCCAAGAGGCUGGGGGCAGAGGUGCAAUGUUAGACUUCUAGCCUGGAGCGUUUAAUUCUUAGUACAAGACUCCUAACAUUCUUCUCCCUCUGUUCCCUACUUGGUGAUACUCGAGGUAUUGCAACCCCCAUUAACCUCUGUCUUAGGGCAAGUUUGAUGGGAAACAGAGCACCCCACACCUCCCUGCAGAUGUAGCAUGAGUGAGAAAAACAACUUCUGAUGUUUGAAGUUACCAAGAUUUAGGAGUUGUUUGUUAUUGCAGCAAAACCUCACCUAUUCUGACUAAUCAUGGUGGAAUUUCUCUGUGUGUGUGUGUGUGUGUGUGUGUGUGUGUGUGUGUGUAACUGGUAGUUUAAAAAAGUUCCUUCUUACCCAAAAGAAAAAAAAGAUAGCAACCUUAUGUUGGUUCUCAAAUUAAAAAAAUAUUUUUACUUGUUUAUAAAAUAGAAAAAUCUGAGAAUCUGUAGCUUAGAGAACUACAGUGUGGGAUGUCUAUAAAGACCAGGUUAUUUUAUCAGCUCCUAACACCCCUUAAUAGAAGCUUAGCCAAGACUUGCACUAUUUCAGUCUUUCCCAUUCCACAUUCCAUGGACUCUUGAAGAGACAUUGAUGAAACGGUGCAGCCAUGAACCACCCUCACUCAAUCCUAGUGGCAGAACCCCCCCUUUUACUGCAGAAUGAGCUUCUUGCUACAGUGAUACUGCAACCCCUUAGAUAUAUCCUGUACUAAUUAAAUUAAAACACGACCAAUACUUUUGCUUUGUUGUCCCCCAAAUUAAACAACUUAAUCAUGAGAACCCAGAGAAUUGGAUUUAGUGUAACUGAUUCCAAACUGUCAGUAAGAACAUAACUAAGUUAUAUUUUUCUCCAAUUCAAAUAAAAGAAAAUUGACAAUAAAAUGCUGAUGAAUAUGUGUAGCUCAGGAGGUAGAGACUGCUUUGAGAUGCAGAAGUGUUUGUUUUUUUAAUCUAUAUUCUUGAGUAAAGAAAAAAUCCAUCUCUCUUUCCUAGAGGGGAAGACUUUCAGAGCUGGGCUUGGCAACAGCCUGACUAUCGGAGGCUGAAUUAAACAAAUAGGUACCUCCCUGGAGUGAAUGGUGCUUUUCUCCUGUUUGGGGAACCGUGCUUUUAUGGUGGAGUUUGCGUUCUGUCUUGGUCUCCGGAUGUGUGUAUCUGUGGGUGGAUGUCUGCAAGUAAAUGGCAGUGUAUACCUGUGUGGGUGUGUACAAAAUUCCCAUGUGAAUCUCAGCUUUGUGGGGAUCUCCGGUUCUUGAGCCCAGUAGAUGCCAUUUGAAGAAAAAAUCACUUGAAAAUGAGACAGAAAGAAUGGAAACUAAAUCCUAGCUCUAAAGGCACCAGGCUGAUUAAAAAAAAAAAAACAAAAAACCUCUGGAUCUUCUUUGUAUUGGACUCUACCUACCUCUAAAUGACAUUUCUGUUUCCUAUGAGAUCAUUAGAAUGAAAAAGAUCCUGAGCACGAAAGAGCAGAUACUGUGUGAUAGUGUGUAUAUCAGGGUGUCAGCUGUGACACUGCUGACAUUUUGGCUCAGCAAUUUCUCUGUUGUAUGUGUGGGGGUUCCCUGUGCAUUUCAGGAUGUUGAGCGGCAUCCCUGGAUCCCUGGACUCACUGGAUGCAGUAACACAACUCUCCCCAAGUAGACACAACCCCCAGUGUCUCCAGAUAUUCCCUAAUGUCCCCAGGGGGCAAAAUAGCCCCAUCUGAGAACUGCUGCUUUCAUAAAGUACAAUGUCAGGUGAAAUAGGUGGAGGCUGUUUGUAGUCAGGGGUUAAUAGAGAUGGAAGAGACCCCAGGAAUAUCCUGGAAGGGGCUGUAAUAUUUUGUUUCUUGAAUUGGGUGUCAGUAAUAUGGAGAUGUUCGGUUUUUUUUGUUGUUGUUGUUGAUUUUGAGGCAGGAUCUUGCUCUGUCACCUAGGCUGGAGCCCAGUGGCACCGUCAUGGCUCACUGCAGCCUCUGCCUCCUGGGCUCCAGCAGUCCUCCCACCUCAGCCCUCCCUAGUAGCUGGGACUACAGGCAUGUGCCACCACAGUUGCCUAAUUUUUUAUUUAUUUAUUUUUUGUAGAGAGGGUUGUCUCACUAUGUUGCCCAGGCUGGUCUCAAGCUCCUGGGCUCAAGCAAUCUGCUCACCUCGGCCUCCCAAAGUGCUGAGAUGACAGGCAUGAGCCACUGCGUCUGGCCAGUAUGUUCAGUUUGUAAGAAAAGUACUGUGUUGACCUCUUCUAUGUGCACAUUUCUUUAAGUAAUAAUUCAAUAAAGCAUUUAGAAAAAUUGGUCAUAAUAGGAGUCAUUUGUAGAGUGAUUGGCGUGAAAGCUGAUCACCUUAAUUUGAACUACUCUGAAAUGAGCACCAGGGGCCACCAAGAGGACCCUUUCAAGGUGUCAUAGCCAAGGAGAGGAGUGUGUUGUGUACAUCUCUGCAUAAAGGAUUUGCUGGUUACAUGGAAGGAUGAAGCCUCCUUCUGAGGACAGAGGCAGCAAAGCAAGUGGAAGCCCAAAGCAUUGAGCUUUCUAAAUGGACUUUGCUAAAAUCUUGUGGAUGACUCAUGCUCUUAACAUACACCCAUGUACAUAUUGUCCAUAUAAACAUUAAUUCUGUAACAAGGCCCACACUUAAGGGUUUUUUUUUUUUCUUUUGUGACAGUCUUGCUUUAUUGUCUAGGCUAGAGUACAGUGGCAUAAUCGUGACUCACUGCAACCUCAGCCUCCUAGGUUCAAGCAAUGCUUGUGCCUCAGCCACCCGAGUAGCUGGGACUACAGGUGCACAACACCAUGCCUGGGUAAUUUUUGUAUUUUUAGUAGAGACGGGGUUUCACCAUGUUGGCCAGGCUGGUCUCAAACUCCUGGCCUCAAGUGAUCUGCGCACCUCCGCCUCCUAAAGUGUUGGGAUUACAGGUGUGAGCCACUCCGCCUGGGCCCACACAUAAGGUUUGAGUUGAGAUAGAGAAACUCUGGCAGUACUGAGGAAUCGGGCCACAGUCUCUGGGAAAUAUGCACAAUUUCUGGAAUCUUCUCUACUUCCAGAGUUCCCACUUUCUGUCUCCUGUUUAUUCAACAAACUUGUAUGGAAACACAGUGUGUCUAGAACUUGCCAGGCGUGGAGGAUAAAAGAUGACUGAGAUCGGGCAUGGUGGCUCAUGCCUGUAAUCCAAGCACUUUGGGAGGCCAAGGCAGGCGGAUCACUUGAGGGCAGGAAUUUGAGCACAGCCUGGCCAACAUGAUGAAACGUCUCUACUAAAAAUACAAAAAUUCGACAGGCAUGGUGGCAUGCACAUGUAGUCCCAUCUACUUGGGAAGCUGAGGCAGGAGAAUCGCUUGAACCCAGGAGGCAGAUGUUUCAGUGAGCUGAGAUCACACCACUGCAUUCCAGCCUGGGAGACAGAGCAAGAUUCCAUCUCAAAAAAAAAAAAAAAAAAGA